Molecule: long non-coding RNA, 1002 nt
Organism: Triplophysa dalaica
Lineage: Eukaryota; Metazoa; Chordata; Actinopteri; Cypriniformes; Nemacheilidae
Exons: 5
Source: RefSeq, a predicted model, not a curated record
UAUGAUUCCGCGUCGCGAUGCUUCUCAACGAGGACCAAGAAUAGCAAACUGUUUUCCAACGGAAAAAAAACACACGGCAGUGUAACAGGACGUAAAGGCAGGGAGAUAUUCAGUAUUUUUCUGCAAAGAAAGUGCCAGCCAGUGCCAGCCAGUGAGGGAGAGUCCGCGUGAUGGUUUAACGUUACACACAGUGAGUUCAGAGCCUGCCUGCUCAACAGGAGACCUCUUGGUUCAGGAAGAUUUGAGCAUAAAUCAGAACAGCCCUGUACACCCAGCUGUCUCUAGGGAUGAAACAGAUGAGAGUGAAAGUGAUGUGAAAGAGAUGGAUACUUGUCACCCACCUUCAGAAGUGUAAUCUGAGCUUCCACUUACUUCUGAUACUGCUCUUACUGGACCUGAUGGCCGUUAUUGUGUCAUGACUCAGUCGAUGUGAAAAGAGGAAAUGAGAAACACAGGAAGAGUUACAAAUGUUCUCAUGAAGAAAUAUAAGUAGAUGAUGAGAAGAGACUCAGUAAGAGAAACACAACAUGACUGAGAAGAGUGAUAUAUGUCUGCUGGGACUGAUCCUUCUCUCUUCACUAUUCACAGGUGUGAGUGGAGCACAAGAUGUGUUCAUCAGUUCUGGUGAAAGUGUGUCUCUGUCCUGUAAUGAUGCUCUUCAUCAAUGCUCCUCAACUACAUGGAUCUAUAAUAAUUAUACAAGAUCAUCAUCUGAAGAAGUGUUUACUGGAGGAAUAAAGAAGAAUAACACAGAGAGAUCUGAGAGACUGAGUCUGACAUCUGACUGCUCUCUCAACAUCUAUAAAACAACACAACAUGAUAAUGGACGUUACACCUGCAGACAAUAUGUGAAUGGACAUCAACAUGGACCUGAUUCACGUGUUUAUCUACAUGUUCUUCAUGGUCAGUGUUUCUCUUCAUUUAUAUGAACACAUGUUUAACUUCAGAUCACAGUUCUCUUUAUCUCUUGUGUUUUCACUGAAACUCAUGAGUACUGAGAGU